Molecule: ribosomal RNA, 1370 nt
Filed under: Triticum aestivum (bread wheat)
Lineage: Eukaryota; Viridiplantae; Streptophyta; Magnoliopsida; Poales; Poaceae
Description: partial small subunit ribosomal RNA
Source: RNAcentral
UACGGAUAAGAAAUAGGUAGAUUUUUUAUGGGAUCGUCGUCGGUAGCAGCAUCCGGAGGCGGCGGUCGGUUCUUGCCUCGCGGCCGGCGGUCGAGGGACGAGAGGCGGAGGGACCUUGCAGCCUAGAACGGUGGUAAGGUUUGAGCGGCCGAGAGGGGUGGGGGUUCCAGUGUAGAGAGGGUACCGAGGGGAGGUUGGGACUCAAGGAGCGUAUCCCGUGCCUGACUUAGGCCGCACACCUAGGUUCCGUACGGCGGGGAGGAGGCUGAUCGGUUGGUACCACCGCACCAAGGAGUACGCCAGGAGGAGGCUGGUCGGUUAGUAUCGCCGCACCAAGCAGACUGAACGCGUCCCCGAGAAGAGAGGGUAGCCAGCCGCGGAGCUGAAGCUUAGGAUGUCGGCCGUGGAGCUGAAGUCGAACGUGUCUGGUCGUAGGAAACAACGGUCUAGAAUUGGUGUGGCUCAAGGAGGCCAGCAGCAGCACUUGGAGGUUCGUCUAUUCGGUUGGAAGUACACAUGAAGGGCAAUAUAGAGGUGUGAGAUAAGGAGCGACAAAACAAAAAGUCCUUCUUCCACCUAAUCACCGAUAAAGGUCAUACAUCUACCCUACCGUUAUCGAGAAGGAACCAACUUCCUACGUUACGUAGAGCGACUUAAGGUUCGACAUAAUAAAACCCAGAUGGAUCUAUGGGUUCGUCCCCUCUAUUUCCGACGUUCAACCCACCUUUCGAUCCCUCUGUUAAGAGCGGUUAUAUUUCUCUUCCUCUUUUUUUGACAAGGUUUCCUAUAUCGAUGUGAAGUGUCGUGACCCUAACACCUACAACUAUGUUUAACCUACACGAAGACACAUCAGGGUUCAGUUCGUUAAAGAGUGAUUACACAGUGCGCUUCUAAAAAAAGGUUUUCCGUUUCUAAGUAUCGAUCGUCAAAUAGUCGACUACUGAGAACGAAACAACUAACAACACGAAUUAGUUAUAGGAAUGUCCAAACACCCCCUCUACAGGGUACUGUUGUGUUAGGUCACGUAUUAACGAAAUCGUCGGCCUUUUUCUCAGUUCUACGUCGCUACGUCACAGUUCACUCGUUACCGUACAGUACUCGUUAACGCCCCGGUCUACACUCGCGGUGACGACAGGGUGUUACUUGUUCAAUAAGACGACAAAUACUAGUUCCGUAACAAACUAUUCCUUUGGGUAAACGAAGACUUGAUUAGGUGCACCGUUGAAGGUACCAAGUAGAUUAUAUUAAAACUUUCGUUAGACUAUGCUGGAGUUCACACGCAAACGUAAGCACAAAAAACACACUUAGCUGAAGCUCACACAUCGAAACCAUUCUAUUAGGAAAGGUACGUACAGGUCGUAUGUAUAUCG